UGAAAUUUUUGGGGCUGUCAGGAAGAGAAAAGGGGAAGGAGCGUCUAGGUGAAAUGAGCUGUGUAGUCCUUUAGAGCCUCUGGACAGAAGGAGCAGAACAGGCUUUGCUUCAUUCCUGAGGUCUACCAGAGCCUCUCACUUAAUGGAAAGAAGAAGCUAAUCUGGAGGAAGAGAACACUGACAAACACCAUUGCAGAGGGAGCCCAUGACAGUACUUCUGCCCCUCCCACCUUUGAGGACUGUUGAGGAGCCAGAACAAAAGGUGAAGGAGAAAGUAUCAGGGUAAUAAUAUCAAUGAUGAGGACAAAAAGGCAAGAAGAAUAAAAUGAAGAUGCAAAGCAGGAAGCAGUGAAUGAGAAAAAGCUGUAACAGGCAGAAAGUAGCUACCCAUGGCUCUAAUACUAAGACCCAAGAAUAUGUAAAUAAACAAUUAUUCCACCAAGAAAGAAGGAGCAAGAGGAAAGCACGAAGACAAACAAAAUAUAAAGAAUAUCUUACACUCUGAAGGUUACAGAAUAUCACAAGCUACAUCAUGCCUCAAAUUCACAACCACACUAUUCAUUCUAUGCAGAAAAUAGCUGCUAGAAUUUCAACCUCAGUUCAAGUCCCUCCAUCAAAUCUCUCUAGGCUUGAUACCUUGUAAUCUGCGACCUACACACAUACAGACCAGAGCCCAGACCCCCAAAACCAGUUCAAAUAUCAAUUGCUACAGUAUGUUAAAUGAUUCUGCUCUAGAGAAGAGAGUGAAAACAAAGAAGGGCUGGUAAUACAUCAUCUCUAAGAAUUUAGCUUGGCGUAAGUGUGCCUGUGACUAAGCUGGGUAAGAAGCACUUGGCAAAUUCCCAACACAGCAUCAGAGACGAGAGGUGCCUAAUGAACAGUGGUUCUCAACUGGGAGAGCACUGUGUUCACCCUGGGGCUAUCGUGGCAAUGUCUGAAGAAAUUUGGGGUUGUCACAUCUGGGGUGGUGCUGCUGACAUCUAGUGAGCAGAGGCCAGAGACGCUGCUAAGCAUCCUACAAUGUACAGGAGAACCCCACGCAGCAAAGAAUUAUCCAGCCAGAAAUGUAAAUAGUGCCAAGACUGAGAAAGAAAGAACAACAUCACUGGAUACAACAGAACUUCUCCACAGCAUCAAAUAAACUUUUAGACAACCCUUUAUAAAUAAAAAUGGGACUUUCCCUUGCAUUUGUACUCUGAAUUAUCUUACGCUUUACUCCAUACCUCUAAACAGUUUAAUAGGGGAUAGGCACUAUAGCGCCAAAGGAAUGUUUUCUCUUGUCCCUGCAACGAUGGUAGUCUGAUGUCCCAGAAAGGAAGGAAAGUUAGUUUCUCUUUUCCUUGACUCUCAGAUCUGGGCUCCUUCACA
This 1368-nucleotide long non-coding RNA is filed under the name Homo sapiens (human). RNAcentral describes it as "HSALNT0171423". Lineage: Eukaryota; Metazoa; Chordata; Mammalia; Primates; Hominidae. The record is from RNAcentral.